Cariama cristata (Red-legged seriema) is the source of this 1083-nucleotide long non-coding RNA. RefSeq lists it as uncharacterized. The record is from RefSeq and is a predicted model, not a curated record. Lineage: Eukaryota; Metazoa; Chordata; Aves; Cariamiformes; Cariamidae. The transcript is spliced from 3 exons.
CUUUUCACAGCUCUUCAGCAUGCUGGGAAGCACAUGGAAGACUGCAUUGUGGCCUCAUACACAGCAUUGCUUCUAGGCUGUCUCUGCCAAGAGAGUCCAAUCAAUGUGACUACUGUGAGGGAGUACUUACCAGAAGGGGACUUCUCGAUAAUGACUGAAAUGCUCAAAAAAUUUCUGAGUUUUAUGAAUCUUACUUGUGCUGUUGGAACAACAGGCCAGAAAUCUAUCUCUAGGGUGAUUGAAUACUUGGAACACUGCUAGAUACUUAACUUCCGCUGCAGGCACUCUAAUGCUGGAGCUACCCUUAGACAAAAGAAGAAGUCAUGAAAGAAGUCCUUGAAGGAUAUACCAAGAGCAUUCAUCUGUGUCAUUCGUGUUCGGAUUUUUAAGGCUACCUGGUCUCUUAACCAUGCAUUCAGCAUUUUAGAAAAGACAGUUACUACAUCAAUCUGCAACUAUCAAAAAUGAGGGGAAAAAGGUUCUGAGGAAAGUAAAUAAAGAAACCAUGCUCUUUAUGAUGCAGUGCAGUAUUUAAAUAUUUUUGGCAGGGUUUACCCUCCCUAUCUUUUUUUCUUGCUUUGUUCGUGACAAGUUUCAAGGGGAAAAACUUGCUGCUGAUAGUGCAACUGCUGUUUACUGUUGAGCCACUGUUUCAUGCCAGCCAGGUGCAAAGGCAGCUUAGCUACUGAGGUAUCAAACAAAUGUUCUAAUAAAGAAGUUCUGGACAGCAGCACCGCUCCUAUUUGAGUUUAAUUUGCUCUUGCUUUUUUAUUACUAGAUUAUUCCAAAAUCAUAAAAUAUAAAUUUUUAAAUACUUUUGUGAUUUUAACUACUGUCUAUAUUUAAAAUUUGUUGGAAUCCAAAGAGACAAGGAUUGGAUAGUUUAUUUUUUAUACUGUUUUGAUUGAAAUUAGGUUGUUGAGCUAUUUCUCAGUUCCAAAACUAUCAUGGCCCAUGUACUGUAAACUGAUAGACCAUAACACUUUGUAGUUCUGAGACGCAUGCAAACCCAUAAACACACAAAGCCAUUUGAGGGUAUGUUAUCCACAAAAGAAAUAGUAACUGUAAAAAGUUGUGCCCUGU